RNAcentral lists this small nuclear RNA (112 nucleotides) under Oncorhynchus tshawytscha (Chinook salmon). Its description in RNAcentral is "U5 spliceosomal RNA". It matches the Rfam family "U5 spliceosomal RNA". Rfam says of the family: U5 RNA is a component of both types of known spliceosome. The record is from Rfam by way of RNAcentral. Lineage: Eukaryota; Metazoa; Chordata; Actinopteri; Salmoniformes; Salmonidae.
UGACCUGUUUCUCUCAUAUACGCACAAGCCUUUCGCUUUUACUAAAGACUUCCGUGGGAGAGAACACUUACGAGUUCAACGUAUUUUUGGACGGCUUUGCUUCUGCAGAGCC